RNAcentral lists this long non-coding RNA (438 nucleotides) under Manihot esculenta (cassava). Its description in RNAcentral is "long non-coding RNA (MESC_LNC002517)". The record is from RNAcentral. Lineage: Eukaryota; Viridiplantae; Streptophyta; Magnoliopsida; Malpighiales; Euphorbiaceae.
CUUUUAAUUGCUUGAGUAACAAUUGUUUGAAUAAUUUAGGUCUGUAAUUGCUUAGAUUAUUUAAACACACAUUUAAUCAAGUUGCAUAAUCUAAACUUGACCACGCGGUUGGCAAGGUUAGAAUUAGGUUUCUCUAAGUCUUAAUGCAGUUAACAGUUGUUCGAUGCUACAAUGCCCCAAGGACGUUCCUUGGCAACUUGUUGAUUAGUGUUUGAUUAGCGAACGUUUCCUAAUCAAACUAGAACUAAGGAGGAAUUUGGAUUGUGAGAAGCGUCUUCCACAUCCUAAACUAAUUUAUUGAAAUAAAUAGAAGUAUCGAAAAGAUCAAUGAUCAAUUCUAAACAAACUGAAAUAGAUCCAUUCUUCAACUAGAAUUCUUCUCCUAUUGAAAUUCUCAUCUAUUUAAAUUAUCGCUUUCUCUUGCUAUUUAGUUUUAAU